Molecule: unclassified non-coding RNA, 438 nt
Filed under: uncultured Thelephoraceae
Lineage: Eukaryota; Fungi; Basidiomycota; Agaricomycetes; Thelephorales; Thelephoraceae
Description: sequence contains ITS2
Rfam family: 5.8S ribosomal RNA (bases 1-155)
Source: RNAcentral
AACUUUUAACAAUGGAUCACUUGGCUCUCGCAUCGAUGAAGAACGCAGCGAAAUGCGACAAGUAAUGUGAAUUGCAGAAUUCAGUGAAUCAUCGAAUCUUUGAACGCACCUUGCGCCCCUUGGUUAUUCCUUGGGGCAUGCCUGUUUGAGUAUCAUGAACACCUCAACUCUCACGGUCUUCCGUGACGAGCUUGGACUUUGGGGGUUUGCUGGCCCUGCGGCCGGCUCCUCUCAAACAAAUCAGCUUGCCAGUGUUUGGCGGCAUCUCACGGGUGUGAUAACUAUCUACGCUCGCGGUUGUCUGCCAGGUAACCCUCAGCAAUGAAGGUUCAUUGGUGCUCAUAAACGUCUCUCCUCGGCGAGGACAGCUUUUGAACGUUCGAUCUCAAAUCAGGUAGGACUACCCGCUGAACUUAAGCAUAUCAAUAAGCGGAGGCU